This 30-nucleotide non-coding RNA is filed under the name Rattus norvegicus (Norway rat). The record is from RNAcentral. Lineage: Eukaryota; Metazoa; Chordata; Mammalia; Rodentia; Muridae.
AGAUAGAUAAAUCUGUGUCAGCAACUUUCA